GUUGACAUCUCGCUGUAGCUAUCAGGAGCCAUGCUACUUGCGCCACCACUGCUGCCUUCCACACAGAGUCUGUGUUAGCAGGAAGCUGGAGCCAGGAACUAGAGCCGAGUCUUGGAUCUGAGUGUCUCGUUGAGGGAUGGCUCUAUCUCAGCCACUAGGCCUGAACAAGCCCUGUACAUACUAAAUGGAGCAACAGGUGAAAUCCACACCCUGCUUCAUUCCGACUUUGAUGGAGUUGUCUCCGCUGCUUGCACCACCUUCUCCUCUCUGGUUUUCUGUUCUACUCGGCACCGUGCAAGUGAAUUCUUGGUUUCCUAUUGAGAGAGAACAUAGCUCAUCCACAGCCACCUGCCUUGGGAGAUGCUGCCUGUUUACACAGGAACUUCUUGAGGGAACUGAGCAACUCGGCACCCCAGUGGGCACAGAGGCCAGCAACUUCUGACUCAGGCAGAGUGGAUUUACUGAUUUAUUUGAAAAGCAGAAUGACGGAGAAAGAGAACAAAGAGAGAGUGUGUGUGUUCUUGGCUGGUUCCAAUGAGUCCCUUCCUAAUGCCUGCACUAACUAGAGCUAGACCAGCCAGACACAAGAGCCAGGAAUCCCAUCUGGGGCUCUCAUGUGGGUGGCAGAGCCCCAGCUUCUUGAACCAUCAUCUGUUGCCUUUCCAGGAAGCUGUGCUGGAAGCAAAGCAACCGGGGCUGAAUUCAUCACUUCGACCUGGGAUGCUGGCUUGACAAGU
Ochotona curzoniae (black-lipped pika) is the source of this 737-nucleotide long non-coding RNA. RefSeq lists it as uncharacterized. The record is from RefSeq and is a predicted model, not a curated record. The transcript is spliced from 5 exons. Lineage: Eukaryota; Metazoa; Chordata; Mammalia; Lagomorpha; Ochotonidae.